AGUGAACGCUGGCGGUAGGCCUAACACAUGCAAGUCGAACGGCAGCACAGUAAGAGCUUGCCCUUACGGGUGGCGAGUGGCGGACGGGUGAGGAAUACAUCGGAAUCUACUUUUUCGUGGGGGAUAACGUAGGGAGACUUACGCUAAUACCGCAUACGACCUACGGGUGAAAGCAGGGGAUCUUCGGACCUUGCGCGAUUGAAUGAGCCGAUGUCGGAUUAGCUAGUUGGCGGGGUAAAGGCCCACCAAGGCGACGAUCCGUAGCUGGUCUGAGAGGAUGAUCAGCCACACUGGAACUGAGACACGGUCCAGACUCCUACGGGAGGCAGCAGUGGGGAAUAUUGGACAAUGGGCGCAAGCCUGAUCCAGCCAUACCGCGUGGGUGAAGAAGGCCUUCGGGUUGUAAAGCCCUUUUGUUGGGAAAGAAAAGCAGCAGGUUAAUACCCCGCUGUUCUGACGGUACCCAAAGAAUAAGCACCGGCUAACUUCGUG
Molecule: ribosomal RNA, 492 nt
Filed under: uncultured bacterium
Lineage: Bacteria
Description: partial 16S ribosomal RNA
Rfam family: Bacterial small subunit ribosomal RNA
Source: RNAcentral